CCUACGGGGGUCAGCAGUGGGGGAUAUUGCACAAUGGGGGGAACCCUGAUGCAGCGACGCCGCGUGGGUGAAGGAGUGCUUCGGCAUGUAAAGCCCUAUCGGCAGGGAAGAAGCAAGACGGUACCUGACUAAGAAGCCCCGGCUAACUACGUGCCAGCAGCCGCGGUAAUACGUAGGGGGCGAGCGUGAUCCGGAUUCACUGGGUGUAAAGGGAGCGUAGACGGCCAUGCAAGCCAGGGGUGAAAGCCCGGGGCCCAACCCCGGGACUGCCCUUGGAACUGGAUGGCUGGAGUGCGGGAGGGGCAGGCGGAAUUCCUGGUGUAGCGGUGAAAUGCGUAGAUAUCAGGAGGAACACCGGCGGCGAAGGCGGCCUGCUGGACCGCGACUGACGUUGAGGCUCGAAAGCGUGGGGAGCAAAUAGGAUUAGAUACCCCAGUAGUC
RNAcentral lists this ribosomal RNA (441 nucleotides) under uncultured bacterium. RNAcentral's name for it is "partial 16S ribosomal RNA". It matches the Rfam family "Bacterial small subunit ribosomal RNA", at positions 338 to 795 of the family's 1533-position model. The record is from RNAcentral.